This 219-nucleotide long non-coding RNA is filed under the name Lathyrus oleraceus (garden pea). RNAcentral describes it as "Pisum sativum (pea) long non-coding RNA (PSAT_LNC012648)". Lineage: Eukaryota; Viridiplantae; Streptophyta; Magnoliopsida; Fabales; Fabaceae. The record is from RNAcentral.
AAGGACGGCUAACCAAAGAUGAAGGCUCUUCUACCAAAUGAUAUGAGGCGUUUGCGAAGAAGAAAGAUGGAGAGGCACAUGCUGUGACCUCCCAUGUGAAACCCAGAAGACCCUCUGUGAUGUGGAAGCCUGUGCGUCCAGCCGGUAAUAAGCAUCAGGUGGCUCACAUAGCACCUGUCUUCAGAGACAACCAACAGUAUCAUCAGCACAACAAUAAUC